GCCGCCUCAUUGGCGCCCGCCGCGGCCGCCGGGAUAGCCGGGAAAGGGGAGCGCUGCCUGAGGAAGAGGAGGCGGUGCCGGCCGGGGCGGUGCGGUGCGCAGCGGCCGCGGCUAGUAGCUCGUUACCGCCAUCCCCCUUCCCGUCCCUUUACGAACUGGGGGCGAGGCGGACGAGCGCUCGCUACCACCAGAGUGAGGCCUGUCAGCUGAGGUAAAAAACCCGGCAAUGUUGAGGUAAAACCCUGCCAGUGCUGAGGUACUGUCCUUGACCUGCCGCACCGGGCCCUAUUGCUGUGGUCUGAAUUCCCCUUUCCGGGGAGGGCUGCUGGCUGGAGGGGCUCUCUGUGGGCCCCUAGGGCCGGUCUGGCUGGGCGAGAUGUCGAGAGGCCUGAAUCCUGCAGGCAGGGCCCGCAGUUUCUGGUGUUCAUCCGUAAUGAGAGAAGGAAAGUAGCGGCUUGGCGGCGACCGGAUUUCAGCAGCCCUGCAGCCCUCAUCCUUGGGUUUCUCUGGCCAGUGUAUGAUUGCUGUCUGAACCAUUCUGCGCUUUCGUCGUUUUUUGGGUUUGUUUUAACCGUGUUUAUAUGUAUAGCAGACAGCACAAGACGUGCUUGUAAAGGCCUCUUCACUUGCCUCCAGGCCGCGGGCGCUCCUUUAAGCCUCGUUUUCCGAAUCUUCUGUUAACUUUUCCUUCGUUUACCUCUGCCUCCUUCGGGCUUUGCGCUGCGUUCCUCUGGCAGCCUUCGCUCUCCAACUGUCACUCCCCAACCGCCGCUGCAGGUUCCAGCCUCUCCCUGCCUUUCGUCUCCCCCGGGGCAGCGCCCACGAGGCUGCCUCUGGAGCCUGAAACUACACCUGGAAACCGAGCGCCUGUCCGAGUGCUGCCUGGGCUCUGUGCCACUGGGAUACUUCUGAGUCCCAAACGAAACGAGCGCUGUGCUUCGUGAUCAAGUCUCGUUUCAGUUAUCUCCUCAUUUUGUGCGCUAUAAGCCUGUGCCAUGCUAUGGGUACCCUGUAUAAAGGCCAUCCUCUCCAGAUGAGCACCCUCUGCUGUGAUUCACUUUCCUACAUCAUCACUCCCCAAAGCAAAUUACAAAACUACCAAUGUGUGGUUAAGGUGUCCAGCAGUGCUAAAGGUGCGUGAAAAUGCUUUCAUAGCACUUUCUACACCUCAUAGUAGGUGAACUACCUACCAGCUUCACCCCAAGCUUGGUCCAUCUCUCAUGGUUAUAGCAGCAGUUGAUAAAAUACUUAAGCUUUUUGCCCAAGUACAGGGACCCUGAGGACAGAGUAGGCUGAGUUAGAGAUAGCUUGUUAUUUUUUGUUAUAAACCAGAACAAACAAGUAUUUGUGUUGUACUUUUUUAUUUGCUUUGUCUUAUCUUGUGUUACAGCAUUAAACUAAUAGAUAUUUUUAAUCUCAAAGCUUUCAAAUUCUGCAAAUUGCAGUGUUCUAUAGUCUAUAGCUCAGCUCAGCAUUGUUGGGAAUGUCUAACAUCAGAAGGAAUCUUACAGCACUUACAUAAGUUUAAAAACAUGAGUCGUAAUGGGCUUCAAAGCUUGUGGUAUGAAGCUGGGCAGAGGAAGGGCAGCACAGGUGCUGAGGGCACUUCCAUGGAGCUUCUGAAGAACUUGUUAAGAAAUGUUGGGAGCAACCUAUCUUGAAAAAAAGUGUCUGUUAGUCAUAGGUCUGAGCACAAAUCUUCCUGGGACUGCUGCAUGGACACAGGUGUUCUCACACUGAGCACAGCAGUGGAGACAGUACCAUAGAGGAGCACUGGAAAAGAAUCUGUAUGAAUUCUGCCGAAGUAGACAGAACAGGAAAAGAAAAGCUCUAAGGGCAUUUUCUAAAAUCCUCCCAGAUCCACUGUCAGGGUUAAACAAGAAGGAUUAUUUCAUCACUAAGAAAAUGAUGUAAAUAAGUAGGCUUGUGACUGGAUGAGGCACUUAGUGCCAUGGUCUAGUUGAUUGGAUAGGGCUGGGUGAUAGGUUGGACUGGAUGAUCUUGGAGGUCUCUUCCAACCUGGUUGAUUCUAUGAUUCUAUGAUUCUUUUGUGACUUGCACAACAGUUACAGAUACCUUACAAAUCAUAAAAUUGUUUAGGUUGGAAAAGACCUUUUAGGAUGAUUGUCUUCAACUGUAAACCUAACACUGCCACGUCCAUCACUAAACAGCUCUCUAAGUGCCACAUCUAUGUGUCUUUAUCUCCACCACUUCCCUGGACAGCCUGUUCAAUGCUUUACAAACCUUUUGGUGAAUUAAGUUUUCCCAAUAUCCAGCCUAAACUUCCCCUGGCACAACCUGAGGACAUUUCCUCUCCUCUUGUCACUUUUUACUUGAGAGAGGAGACUGACCCCCACCUCACUGCAACCUCCUUUCAAGUAGUUGUAAAGAGUAAUAAGGUCUCCCCUCAGCCUCCUUCAAUCCCAGUUCCCUCAGCUACUCCUUCUAAGAUACGUGCUCUAGAUUCUUCACUGGCUUUGUUGCUCUUCUCUGAAUGCACUCCAGCACCUCAGUGUCCUUGUAGUGCAAGGCAGUGACUAAAAUGAACGAACUUCACAUGAGACAGGAACUGGAAUUGAAGUCCAAAAGCUAUGAAUCCUAGAAAAAGGCAGAAAUUGAUUAGAUUUAGACAGAAAAUAGCAAUGGACAACCUAAACAAUCUCCUGACCAAGCAGACUACACAAAAAUAGAUAACUGGAACCAGAACAAGAAAUGCUGUUCUUCUGUGCAAGUGCUGGAAGUUUAAAAACUUAGUUGAGGACAUGGCAAUGUAUAACUUUAAAGGAGCACACUGAUAGAACUGAUUUUUAGGAAAUACUGAGAAGGAAUUGCAUUAAAGCCUCUCCAAUACCUGAUGACAGAAAGGGAUGAGAAGGCUACGGUUAGAAAACGAAUAGCAAAUAAACCAGGAAAUGCCAUUACACCAUUGUACAAAUCCAUCAUGCAUCCCUCCUUUAACUCUGUGUAAUUUGGUAUAGACUGUAUUUUGAAAAGAGAAUAGAGAGAAAGCCAAGAAAUAAGAUGGCUUGGUACAAUUCCUGCACAGGAGAGAUUUAAUACAAUGGGGAUUUUGAGGUCAGGGGAAAAAGAAAAAGGAAAACAGUUCAGGCUGAAUUUGAUAGAGGUCUGUCAAGAUCUUCAAUGGAAUGAGUGACUUAGUUCUCAAAACUGCUUUGUAUUGUUUGUCCUUGUGCUAUCUGGCAAGAUGCAAUAUUACAAGCAUUCACAGCCUCUUAUAGAGGCAACAGGUAGAAAUAAAACAAAUGUAAAACUCCA
Pogoniulus pusillus (Red-fronted tinkerbird) is the source of this 3276-nucleotide long non-coding RNA. RefSeq lists it as uncharacterized. The record is from RefSeq and is a predicted model, not a curated record. The transcript is spliced from 2 exons. Lineage: Eukaryota; Metazoa; Chordata; Aves; Piciformes; Lybiidae.